AACGCGAAGAACCUUACCUACCCUUGACAUGUACGGAAGCCUAGCGAGAGCUAGGUGUGCCCGAAAGGGAGCCGUAACACAGGUGCUGCAUGGCUGUCGUCAGCUCGUGUCGUGAGAUGUUGGGUUAAGUCCCGCAACGAGCGCAACCCUUGUCCCUAGUUGCUACGCAAGGGCACUCUAGGGAGACUGCCGGUGACAAACCGGAGGAAGGUGGGGAUGACGUCAAGUCCUCAUGGCCCUUAUGGGUAGGGCUUCACACGUCAUACAAUGGCCGGUACAGAGGGUUGCCAAGCCGCGAGGCGGAGCCAAUCCCAGAAAGCCGGUCGUAGUCCGGAUUGCAGUCUGCAACUCGGCUACAUGAAGUUGGAAUUGCUAGUAAUGGCGUGUCAGCAACAACGCCGUGAAUACGUUCCCGGGCCUUGUACACACCGGAGUGC
This 437-nucleotide ribosomal RNA is filed under the name uncultured bacterium. RNAcentral describes it as "bacterial SSU rRNA". It matches the Rfam family "Bacterial small subunit ribosomal RNA", at positions 958 to 1398 of the family's 1533-position model. The record is from RNAcentral.